AUAACCAAUUAGUAUUACCAAAUCAUGUCAAGGUGUCCGUGGAUCAUGUGAUUGUUGAGGGGGGAGAGACAUUUCUUCUACCAGUGCCCACUCAACAUUAUACACAUUUUGGAGAUGUCAUUGGAAGUUUUGUACAGUGGCCUAUACAUUUAGUUGGUAUAGGAGAGGAAGAGAUAGUGAUGAAGCCAAAAGUUAAAACAGGUAUGACUGUGGUGAGGAAUCGAGUACUAGACGAGCCAAUUUGGUUUAUGAUGAUACCUUACAGCCUUUGGGGUUGAGUGCAACCGGGUGCACAAUGUGCUUCUAUCAAUGUCUAUUGAUACUGACUACUUUGAAUUGGAAUUAGAUUCUAAUGUCUUUCACCAUACCAACGUGAGAAGUAUUUUUGUGAUGAUGGAUAAUAUUAAGGACUUGUUAACUAUGAAAUGGCUUGAUGUAUCCAUUAUACAAGUCUUUAUAAUGUAAGUUUGUAUAUUUAUUAAUUUGAAAAUGUUAAUUAAUUAUUAAUGUAUUACUUAAUAAUUUUUCAGGUAUCUUCACAGCAAUCAAUUUGGGACUGACUCAGUUGGAUUUGUGUGUCCAACACAGAUAGCAAAGGCCACUCUUGAUUUCAAUUUUAAUAUUGUCACUGCAUAUAUUGCAAAUGCUAUGGUCACAUCGAAGGACAAGACAUUAAUUUUAGCACCGUACCAUCAAUCGGCAUUCCGAUCAUAUAUGAAUCAACAAGUACAAAGAGCAAAAAAUCUUUUCUACUUUAAGCAUG
Ipomoea nil (Japanese morning glory) is the source of this 763-nucleotide RNA transcript. RefSeq lists it as uncharacterized. The record is from RefSeq and is a predicted model, not a curated record. NCBI's taxonomy places the organism in Eukaryota, Viridiplantae, Streptophyta, Magnoliopsida, Solanales, Convolvulaceae. The transcript is spliced from 3 exons.